Molecule: ribosomal RNA, 497 nt
Filed under: uncultured bacterium
Lineage: Bacteria
Description: partial 16S ribosomal RNA
Rfam family: Bacterial small subunit ribosomal RNA
Source: RNAcentral
GAUGAACGCUGGCGGCGUGCCUAAUACAUGCAAGUCGAGCGAACGGACGAGAAGCUUGCUUCUCUGAUGUUAGCGGCGGACGGGUGAGUAACACGUGGAUAACCUACCUAUAAGACUGGGAUAACUUCGGGAAACCGGAGCUAAUACCGGAUAAUAUUUUGAACCGCAUGGUUCAAAAGUGAAAGACGGUCUUGCUGUCACUUAUAGAUGGAUCCGCGCUGCAUUAGCUAGUUGGUAAGGUAACGGCUUACCAAGGCAACGAUGCAUAGCCGACCUGAGAGGGAGAGCGACCACACUGGAACGGAGACAAGGUGCAGAGUCCUACGGGAGGCAGCAGUAGGGAAUCUUCCGCAAUGGGCGAAAGCCUGACGGAGCAACGCCGCGGGAGUGAUGAAGUUCUACGGAUCGUAAAACUCUGUUAUUAGGGAAGAACAAAUGUGUAAGUAACUAUGCACGUCUUGACGGUACCUAAUCAGAAAGCCACGGCUAACUACGUG